This 122-nucleotide microRNA precursor is filed under the name Pelobates cultripes (western spadefoot toad). Lineage: Eukaryota; Metazoa; Chordata; Amphibia; Anura; Pelobatidae. The record is from RNAcentral.
CUAACUACCAUGCUCCCUUACGGUUCCCAUAAUUCCCAGAAUCUACACAUCAUAGAGUAAUCACUACUCUAGGAUGUGUCCAUGCUGGGAAUUAUGGGAACCGCGAGGGAGCAUGGUAGUUA